This 301-nucleotide ribosomal RNA is filed under the name uncultured bacterium. RNAcentral describes it as "partial 16S ribosomal RNA". It matches the Rfam family "Bacterial small subunit ribosomal RNA", at positions 509 to 809 of the family's 1533-position model. The record is from RNAcentral.
CAGUAGCCACGGUAAAACAGAGGGUGCGAGCGUUAAUCGGAUUUACUGGGCGUAAAGCGUGCGUAGGCGGCUUCUUAAGUCGGAUGUGAAAUCCCUGAGCUUAACUUAGGAAUUGCAUUCGAUACUGGGAAGCUAGAGUAUGGGAGAGGAUGGUAGAAUUCCAGGUGUAGCGGUGAAAUGCGUAGAGAUCUGGAGGAAUACCGAUGGCGAAGGCAGCCAUCUGGCCUAAUACUGACGCUGAGGUACGAAAGCAUGGGGAGCAAACAGGAUUAGAUACCCGCGUAGUCCCUGUCUCUUAUAA